GCUCAGGUGUGCCAGCCGCCGCGGUAAUACGUAGGGGGCAAGCGUUAUCCGGAUUACUGGGUGUAAAGGGAGCGUAGGCGGUCCGUUAAGUCAGCGGUAAAAUUGCGGGGCUCAACCCCGUCGAGCCGUUGAAACUGGCAGACUUGAGUUGGCGAGAAGUACGCGGAAUGCGCGGUGUAGCGGUGAAAUGCAUAGAUAUCGCGCAGAACUCCGAUUGCGAAGGCAGCGUACCGGCGCCAGACUGACGCUGAGGCACGAAAGCGUGGGGAUCGAACAGG
This 278-nucleotide ribosomal RNA is filed under the name uncultured bacterium. Its description in RNAcentral is "partial 16S ribosomal RNA". It matches the Rfam family "Bacterial small subunit ribosomal RNA", at positions 496 to 776 of the family's 1533-position model. The record is from RNAcentral.